CACACCCGUUCCCAUCCCGAACACGGAAGUUAAGCUCUUCAGCGCCGAUGGUAGUGAGAGGAUUCCUCUUGCGAGAGCAGGACGUUGCCAGAC
This 93-nucleotide ribosomal RNA is filed under the name Caryophanales bacterium. The record is from RNAcentral. Lineage: Bacteria; Bacillati; Bacillota; Bacilli; Caryophanales.